GAGGAAUAUUGGUCAAUGGGCGCGAGCCUGAACCAGCCAAGUAGCGUGAAGGAUGACUGCCCUAUGGGUUGUAAACUUCUUUUAUAAGGGAAUAAAGUGAGGCACGUGUGCCUUAUUGUAUGUACCUUAGGAAUAAGCAUCGGCUAACUCCGUGCCAGCAGCCGCGGUAAUACGGAGGAUGCAAGCGUUAUCCGGAUUUAUUGGGUUUAAAGGGAGCGUAGGCGGACUAUUAAGUCAGCUGUGAAAGUUUACGGCUCAACCGUGAAAUUGCGGUGGAAACUGGCGGUCUGGGGGGAGGUAAAGGGGGGCGGAUUUCGUGGUGUACCGGUGAAAUGCUUAGUUAUAACGAAGAACUCCAAUUGCGAAGGCAGCUAACUGGGGUGUAACUGACGCUGUGGCUCGAAAGUGUGGUAUCAAACA
RNAcentral lists this ribosomal RNA (420 nucleotides) under uncultured Bacteroides sp. RNAcentral's name for it is "bacterial SSU rRNA". It matches the Rfam family "Bacterial small subunit ribosomal RNA", at positions 356 to 774 of the family's 1533-position model. The record is from RNAcentral. Lineage: Bacteria; Pseudomonadati; Bacteroidota; Bacteroidia; Bacteroidales; Bacteroidaceae.